AACUCAUUCUUUCCUAAUUGUUUUUCAUCUUAUAUUGGUUGAGAUCUUAUCCCUCAUAAAAAGGGUUUUCAAAUCGGAUCAGUGACUGGGGGAAAGCGCCAAGUAGUUUUCGGGUUUGAUCAGCUUAUUGGGACUUUCUCAGUGUUGAAUUAAGCUUUUUGUUGAGUAAUUUACAGCUUCAGAUCGGAGGGAAAAUAUGGUCUUUGGUGGAUAUUUGAGGUUGGGAAUUGAAUGAUAGAGAUUAGGGUAUGGAAGAGGACUGUAUGUACUACUAGAGACCGGGAACUACUGAAGCACAGGAAAAAGAAAAGGAGGUUUUCGAGCUUUUCAGGUGAAAAGGGGAUCGCAUAUUUCAUCAUUUUUGUGUAGACUUUAUAGUGUAGGGAAUUUUUAUGUUAUUUGCAUUUGGAAUUGAUAUGCAAGAGGUGAUGUUUGUGAAGUUUUGGUUUUGCAGACAAGAAAAAGGAUCAGAUUACUUUGGAAAAGGGAAAUAAAUUGGUUUGACAUAGAUCUUGAAAGGCUUUUAGGGUGGUUUUUCGGGUUUUAACUCGGUCGUCUUAGAUUUAGAGUAUAUUGAAAGGAGUUUGAGAUUAUUCUGUUGAUCACAUUGGGAUAUUUGAAGUGAAGAGCUAGUUUAAUUAAGUUGGUUUUUGGACUGAUUUGAGUUAAAAGGAUUCAAUGGAGGUGCAUUGAAGCUGGAAAGUAAUGUGGGGUCAUGGUGAAUGGACAGAAGUCUAGUUGCUUGUUACUGGAACACUGCUGUGAGAAAAU
This 771-nucleotide unclassified non-coding RNA is filed under the name Hevea brasiliensis (rubber tree). The record is from RNAcentral. Lineage: Eukaryota; Viridiplantae; Streptophyta; Magnoliopsida; Malpighiales; Euphorbiaceae.